GGCUUGUGGCUCAGAUGUAGAGCACUCGCCUAGCAUGUGUGAGAUACUGGGUUCAAUCCUCAGUACCA
This 68-nucleotide transfer RNA is filed under the name Marmota monax (woodchuck). Its description in RNAcentral is "tRNA.Ala". Lineage: Eukaryota; Metazoa; Chordata; Mammalia; Rodentia; Sciuridae. The record is from RNAcentral.